AGUGGUCUGAAUUAGUUUCCCAUUCUGCCUUAUCAAACCUGAGCGAGGCCAAAUACAACAAGAGCGCCAGGCUUCCACUGGCCAAAGACGUUCAGAAGCUACAGUUACAUCUUGGUCAGCAAGUGGAAUUGGCUAAGGAGAAACUAGCCGAUAAUCCAACAGCAGGCACGUAUGCGGCACUAGCAAAGGUGACCCUCUGUCAAGUAAUUUUGUUUAAUAGGAGGAGGGAAGGUGAAGUGGCGCGAAUGACUGUAAAAAAUUUUGAAGAUCGUGACAUGUCACAACUUAACGAUGACAUAAGCACUGGGCUUACAGAAGUUGAGAGGAGACUUUGCAAACAAUUCGCCAGAGUGGAAUUGAGGGGGAAAAAAGGACGAAAGGUUGCGGUGAUCCUGACUCCUGACAUGACUGCUAACCUGUCACUCCUCAUUAGUAAGAGGAAAGAGUGUGGAGUUACUGAAGACAACGAUUACCUCUUCGCUGUUCCUUGUAGUCUUGGGCACUACAGAGGGCAGUUUGGUCAAUUUGCAGAUGCUUGUGGAGCCGAAGAUCCUCAAAACCUCAGAUCAACUAACCUUCGCAAACAAAUCGCCACAAUAAGCCAAGUCAUGAACUUGAAAGAUAAUGAACUGGAUCAGCUGGCCGAUUUUCUCGGCCAUGACAUUAGGGUGCAUAGGGAGUACUAUCGACUGCCCCAAUCAACAAUUCAGCUGGCUAAGAUCUCAAAACUGCUUAUGGCUAUGGAGAAGGGAAGUGUGAAGGAUAUCCAAGGAAAAUCUCUAGAUGAAAUCGGUGAUGACACAGAAGAUAUGGAUACAGGAUCACCGCAACUCCCUGAUGUUUCCACUCUGCAAGACAAUGAAGAAAUGUUGGCUUCUGGCACUUUGCCUCACCUCUCCGAGACCGCAG
Molecule: long non-coding RNA, 909 nt
Organism: Sardina pilchardus (European sardine)
Lineage: Eukaryota; Metazoa; Chordata; Actinopteri; Clupeiformes; Clupeidae
Exons: 3
Source: RefSeq, a predicted model, not a curated record